Molecule: long non-coding RNA, 413 nt
Organism: Seriola aureovittata
Lineage: Eukaryota; Metazoa; Chordata; Actinopteri; Carangiformes; Carangidae
Exons: 3
Source: RefSeq, a predicted model, not a curated record
GGCAAAAGAGCAGAAAUACUCACUCAGUAAGAAACAUCAUAAUAAUUCAUGAACUUAUUUACAGAGAGACUAAUAAGAGGCAGAAGAGUGAGAAAUAUGAAGUGAAAUGGAAUUAUUGUACAUAGAAGGAACGGACUUUGGUGCACAGACCCCAGCAGGAAGUGGAUCACCAUGGAAGGCAGCCCAUAGGUUUGAGGUCUUUCCAAUUAGAGGAAACUUUCCCUGGAGCCUGGACUCUGGUGUUGGUGAUAAGGAGUGGAGCACGAGGAUGUGAGGAUCUUCAUGAGAGGGAAACUUGUGAUCGGAGGGUUUGAUUGGUGAUGGUCAGGCACCCGCAGGGGGCGGCGGCGGCGGCGGCGGCGGCAUCAGGAGAGACUCAGGCUGAAAACAAGUUGUGUGUGAGGGAGUUUCAC